RNAcentral lists this ribosomal RNA (449 nucleotides) under uncultured bacterium. RNAcentral's name for it is "bacterial SSU rRNA". It matches the Rfam family "Bacterial small subunit ribosomal RNA", at positions 354 to 796 of the family's 1533-position model. The record is from RNAcentral.
GUCGAGAAUCUUUCGCAAUGGGCGCAAGCCUGACGAAGCGACGCCGCGUGCAGGAUGAAGGUCUUCGGAUUGUAAACUGCUGUCUUUGGGGAGCAACGUCCUGACGUGAACAACGUCGGGAUUUGAUAGUACCCGAGGAGGAAGCCACGGCUAACUCUGUGCCAGCAGCCGCGGUAAUACAGAGGUGGCGAGCGUUGUUCGGAUUUACUGGGCGUAAAGGGUGCGUAGGCGGUCCCGUAUGUCGGAUGUGAAAUCCCAUCGAAAACGGUGGAACGGCAUUCGAAACUGCGGGGCUCGAGUGCAGGAGAGGAUGGUGGAAUUCUCGGUGUAGCGGUGAAAUGCGUUGAUAUCGAGAGGAACGCCGGUGGCGAAGGCGACCAUCUGGAAUGCAACUGACGCUGAGGCACGAAAGCUAGGGGAGCAAACAGGAUUAGAAACCCCAGUAGUCC